GUUGGGCCAUUAAAGCUCACGGUUUGGGCCUUCUUCUUCUUCAGCCCGUGAAGCCAGCAAAGUUCAAAUCCAACAGCUCACUUGGCAAGCUCAAUUCCAGCAAUUAAAUUUCAAGCCCAGCGAAGCCAUCACCUUCGGCCCAAUUGCAAUUAGGCCCAGUGAAUUCAGCUCCAAAGCCCAGCAAAAUUAGAGGCCACGAGGACAGCCCAUUCAAGGCAUGUACUAUCAAGUGAAGCCCAGUCCAGUACAAGACAAAUCUCAUUUGGGCUGAGAUUUGUUGGGCCAAGGUCAAGGCUCGGUCCAAGCCCGUCGGUGACGUCGAAAGUUCGGAUUUCGGCCGUCGUCGCAUCGCCGUUUUGGUGUCCCGGUCCCCGCUUUUAAUCAAGACCCUGAUGAGGAGCCUGAGGAGAAAGAAACCGAAGAGGAGUACCUGGAGGAGAACCCCGAUGAUGAUCUGAGUAUGAAUCGGAUGAGGACUGAAAUCCCGUCAUCUUUUAGGAAUCUUGUCUAAAUGUGAAUAGUGUGAGACUAGAAUGUUAUGAAUAGUCUUGUGAAUAGACUUUGAGUUAUGCCAUGUAUAAAAGUUCGGUUGUGGAUUUCAAUAUGAAAAAUAUGGCCUUACUUUUCUA
Long non-coding RNA from Eucalyptus grandis, 629 nucleotides. RefSeq lists it as uncharacterized. The record is from RefSeq and is a predicted model, not a curated record. NCBI's taxonomy places the organism in Eukaryota, Viridiplantae, Streptophyta, Magnoliopsida, Myrtales, Myrtaceae. The transcript is spliced from 2 exons.